This 721-nucleotide long non-coding RNA is filed under the name Homo sapiens (human). RNAcentral describes it as "non-protein coding lnc-GDAP2-1:16". Lineage: Eukaryota; Metazoa; Chordata; Mammalia; Primates; Hominidae. The record is from RNAcentral.
GACACCCACUUAACUUCGGAGUUAGUGGGACACCUUUCUUUUUGCUUAGUACGCUUUUCUGCUAUUCCUGCCGCAUAACUCUCUCUUCCCCAGGCUUUUCCCAUCUCCAUCCUAUUCUCUCGCAGGCAGGUUUUUCUUCCGCCUCUCUGGGGAUUUUCGCGUUGGUUCUCCCUGCCCCCAGGAGUGAGGCGGGUAACGCCCACGCCUACCUCCGGUGUGUGUUUUUGAAGUCGGAAAAAACUUAAUGGUUUCUGGGCCCUGGGCACCUUUCUGAUUCCCCAAGCAAACUGGCUGGAGGCGAAGGCGUGGUCUUCGGGGAGAGAGCGCCGGCGGCUCUCUGGCCCCGGGGACCACCUGUGUGCAGUUAGUGGGACGAAGGGCCUCGGGGAGUCCAUCGCCAAUGUCGGCAGCCGCAGCCGCUUCGGCCCCAUUCGGAAUGCCACAGCACUUGGUCCAGUGUGUUAUAUAACAUGCAGGCAGGGCUUGGACACCAUCCAUUCAUAACAUAGCGAGUGGUUUACAGCCCAGGUUCUGAAUUCAGACUAAUCUGAGUUGAGAUCUCCAUGCACCACUUAAACUUUCUGUAAGGCCUUAGGCAAGUAACUGAACCAACCCUCCAACAACCUGCGUCUCCUAUCUGUAGGACAAGACUAACAAUGGGACAGCUCUGUAGAAUUAUAUAAGUAUUAAGAAAAUACGUGGGAAACAAUUAGUGCAUUGC